This 919-nucleotide ribosomal RNA is filed under the name Bacillus thaonhiensis. RNAcentral's name for it is "bacterial SSU rRNA". It matches the Rfam family "Bacterial small subunit ribosomal RNA", at positions 26 to 911 of the family's 1533-position model. The record is from RNAcentral. Lineage: Bacteria; Bacillati; Bacillota; Bacilli; Caryophanales; Bacillaceae.
UGGGCGAAGGCCAUACAUAGGGCAGCCAUCGUGCAGUCGAGGCGGACAGAUGGGAGCUUGCUCCCUGAAGUCAGCGGCGGACGGGUGAGUAACACGUGGGCAACCUGCCUGUAAGACUGGGAUAACUUCGGGAAACCGGAGCUAAUACCGGAUAACACCGAGGACCUCAUGGUCCUUGGUUGAAAGAUGGCUUCGGCUAUCACUUACAGAUGGGCCCGCGGCGCAUUAGCUAGUUGGUGAGGUAACGGCUCACCAAGGCGACGAUGCGUAGCCGACCUGAGAGGGUGAUCGGCCACACUGGGACUGAGACACGGCCCAGACUCCUACGGGAGGCAGCAGUAGGGAAUCUUCCGCAAUGGACGAAAGUCUGACGGAGCAACGCCGCGUGAGCGAUGAAGGCCUUCGGGUCGUAAAGCUCUGUUGUUAGGGAAGAACAAGUACCGUUCAAAUAGGGCGGUACCUUGACGGUACCUAACCAGAAAGCCACGGCUAACUACGUGCCAGCAGCCGCGGUAAUACGUAGGUGGCAAGCGUUGUCCGGAAUUAUUGGGCGUAAAGCGCGCGCAGGCGGUUCCUUAAGUCUGAUGUGAAAGCCCACGGCUCAACCGUGGAGGGUCAUUGGAAACUGGGGAACUUGAGUGCAGAAGAGGAAAGCGGAAAUUCCACGGUGUAGCGGUGAAAAUGCGUAGAGAUGUGGAGGAACACCAGUGGCGAAGGCGGGCUUUCUGGUCUGUAACUGGACGCUGAGGCGCGAAAAGCGUGGGGGAGCAAACAGGGAUUAGAUACCCUGGUAGUCCACGCCCGUAAACGAUGAGUGCUAAGUGUUAAGGGGUUUUCCCCCCCUUAGUGCUGCCACUAACCCAUUAAGCACUCCGCCCUGGGGGAGUACGGCCGCAAGGCUUAAAACUCCAAAGGGAUU